RNAcentral lists this ribosomal RNA (426 nucleotides) under uncultured bacterium. Its description in RNAcentral is "bacterial SSU rRNA". It matches the Rfam family "Bacterial small subunit ribosomal RNA", at positions 354 to 796 of the family's 1533-position model. The record is from RNAcentral.
GUAGGGAAUAUUGCACAAUGGGCGAAAGCCUGAUGCAGCAACGCCGCGUGUGCGAUGAAGGCCUUCGGGUCGUAAAGCACUUUUUGAGGAGAUGAGGAAGGACAGUAUCCUCAGAAUAAGGUCCGGCUAACUACGUGCCAGCAGCCGCGGUAACACGUAGGGACCAAGCGUUAUCCGAAUUUACUGGGCGUAAAGCGUGUGCAGGUGGUUUAGCAAGUUGGAUGUGAAAGCUCCUGGCUCAACUGGGAGAGGCCGUUCAAGACUGCUAGACUUGAGGAUGGUAGAGGAAGGUAGAAUUCCCGGUGUAGUAGUGAAAUGCGUAGAUAUCGGGAGGAAUACCAGUGGCGAAGGCGGCCUUCUGGACCAUUCCUGACACUCAGACACGAAAGCUAGGGUAGCGAAUGGGAUUAGAAACCCCGGUAGUCC